UGCCUGGAACAUCCUUGUUCUCUGCCAGGA
RNAcentral lists this non-coding RNA (30 nucleotides) under Homo sapiens (human). Lineage: Eukaryota; Metazoa; Chordata; Mammalia; Primates; Hominidae. The record is from RNAcentral.